GGCCUAACACAUGCAAGUCGAGGGGCAGCACAAUGCGUAGCAAUACAAGUGGUGGCGACCGGCGCACGGGUGAGUAACACGUAUGCAACCUACCUGUAAGAGGGGAAUAACCCGGAGAAAUUCGGACUAAUACCGCAUAAUACUGCGAAGCCGCAUGGCUUUGCAUUUAAACAUUUAUGGCUUACAGAUGGGCAUGCGUAUGAUUAGCUAGUUGGUGAGGUAACGGCUCACCAAGGCAACGAUCAUUAGGGGUUCUGAGAGGAAGGUCCCCCACACUGGUACUGAGACACGGACCAGACUCCUACGGGAGGCAGCAGUGAGGAAUAUUGGUCAAUGGGCGAGAGCCUGAACCAGCCAAGUCGCGUGAAGGAAGAAGGUUCUAUGGAUUGUAAACUUCUUUUGUAAGGGAAUAAAAAGUGGUACGUGUACCAUAUUGUAUGUACUUUACGAAUAAGGAUCGGCUAACUCCGUGCCAGCAGCCGCGGUAAU
Molecule: ribosomal RNA, 489 nt
Filed under: uncultured bacterium
Lineage: Bacteria
Description: bacterial SSU rRNA
Rfam family: Bacterial small subunit ribosomal RNA
Source: RNAcentral